CAUCGGGGAAGGCUGAAAAUCAUUUCAAGGUGGAAGAUGAUUUUGACAUUUCUUCAACGGAACCCAGCACCUGAAUAUGGCUGAGUAUGUUUGAUUUAAUAUCGAUACUGCUUGGUGUUCUUUGUUACUUCAGCUUUUGUACGUUCUAAAUAUCUGCCGUCAUUAAUUGCCACAGAAGUUAAACCCUACCCAAUGGAAUGACGUUAAAAAACGACUUUGGUGCAGAGUUACCAACUGGAUAAUAUCAAAGCUAAAAUAAUGGCCGUCAUUCCCACAUGUUACAGUAGAAGAUACUCUAGAACUGUACAAGGUUAAAAAUGUAACAUGUAGUUUGUCCCAAGGUGUCUGCCUCCUCACCCAGAGCCAGACCUCCACCUCCUGUCAGAAGUCCUCCAGAACAGCUGAAAGGCGAGGCUGAGAGGCUGGGGACCGGAGGCUUGUGGUGCCAGGGUGGACCGGAGACUGAGGCUGGAGACCAGGGGCCUGCAGCACCGGACCAGAGGACCAGGAAUCCAUGGCUGAAGGAGCUGAUGGAGGAGCCGUUCUGAAGGAGCUGAUGGAGGAGUCGUGCUGAAGGCCCUGCCCGGUGGAGGAGCUGGUGGAGGCCCUGCCUGGUGAAGGACGGCUGUCGUGGGACCAGGACUCUGUCUGAGGAGAGCUGAUGGAGGAGCUGAGAUGCUGGAGGACGACUAGGAAUCGACCAACAAGGAUUCCUCAACGUGUUUCUGGAGCGGAGGCGAGCUGGUAGGGGAGCCGUGAAUCUGGAGGAUGACAUCACUCUACCAACAAGGAUUACGUUAGGGCCAGACUCGCGCUGUUUGUUCCAGACCAGGACUCUGGCUGAGGAGAGCUGAUGGAGGAGCCAAGACUCUGGAGGACAACAUCACUCUACCAACCAGGAUCCUCGAAUCUGGAGGACUGAUGGAGAAGCCGUACAUCUGGAAGGCAAAUCCUGAGGACAACCAGGACGCUACCAUCAAGGAUUCCUUACGCACUUGAGCUGAACCUCACCUGAUCCUGUUUGGUCAGGGGCAGACACACCUGAGCUGAACCCGCCCUGAUCCUGACAUCCUGCUGGUCCCGUCUCCUCAGUUCAUCUGAGCCUCGUCCACCAGAAGACCUGCUGAGCUCAGCAGUCUGAGGCUGAUGGAUCAAUGACCUCCAGUGGGAGUGAUCUUCUUGCCCCCACAUACCAGGAAUCCAUGGCUGAAGGAGCUGAUGGAGGAGCCGUGCUGAAGGAGCUAAAGGAGUCGUGCUGAAGGCCCUGCCUGGUGGAGGCCCUGCCUGGUGGAGGCCCUGCCUGGUGGAGGCCCUGCCUGGUGGAGGCCCUGCCUGGUGAAGGCCCUGCCUGGUGAAGGCCCUGCCUGGUGAAGGCCCUGCCUGGUGAAGGACCUGCCUGGUGAAGGACCUGCCUGGUGAAGGACCUGCCUGGUGAAGGAAGUCUGUCGUGGGAUAGAUGGAGCUUGACUCUGAAGACUCUGUCGGCGGAGAGCUAAUGGAGGAGCUGAGAUGCUGGAGGACGACUAGGAAUCGACCAAAAAGGAUUCCUCAACGUGUUUCUGGAGCGGAGGCGAGCUGGUAGGGGAGCCGUGAAUCUGGAGGAUGACCAUCACUCUACCAACAAGGAUUACUUUAGGGCCAGAUUCGCGCUGUUUGUUCCAGACCAGGACUCUGAUGGAGGAGAGCUGAUGGAGGAGCCAAGACUCUGGAGGAUGACAUCACUCCACCAACCAGAAUCCUCAGACAAAUUACGUUUGUAAGCAGACCAGGAAUCUGGAGGACUGAUGGAGAAGCCGUACAUCUGGAAGGCAAAUCCUGAGGACCACCAGGACUCUACCAUCGAGGAUCUGGACAUAGUGGACUAGACACACCUGAGCUGAACCUGAUCCUGUUUGGUCGGGGGGGUAGACGCACCUCAGCUAAACCCGCCCUGAUCCUGACAUCCUGCUGGUCCCGUCUUCUCAGUUAAUCUGAGCCUCGUCCUCCAGAAGACCUGCUGAGCUCGGCAGUCUGAGGCUGAUGGAUCGAUGACCUCCAGUGGGAGUGAUCCUCUUGACCCCACAUGUAACGUGUGCUUCCACACGCCUUUCCCUCACGUCUGUCACUAACCUCACUACUUCACAACUCUCUACUGCUUCCUCUUUUCUUCCUUCUCUGUGGUUCAAACCUUUACACUGAAGGCGCGUCUUCAUGCCCUCAGAGGGUUUAGCGUUAGGGUUGAGAGUCAGGGUUUAGAGUCAGGGACAGAGCUGGUCAGGGAGGACUGCUUUUACACAAACCUCUUCACUUGCUUUCGGAAUGGUGGUGACAUUUUGAAAAGAUUAAA
Molecule: long non-coding RNA, 2326 nt
Organism: Gadus chalcogrammus (walleye pollock)
Lineage: Eukaryota; Metazoa; Chordata; Actinopteri; Gadiformes; Gadidae
Exons: 14
Source: RefSeq, a predicted model, not a curated record